Molecule: ribosomal RNA, 465 nt
Filed under: uncultured bacterium
Lineage: Bacteria
Description: partial 16S ribosomal RNA
Rfam family: Bacterial small subunit ribosomal RNA
Source: RNAcentral
CGGGCGGCUGCAGCAGUGAGGGAUUUUGCGCAAUGGGGGAAACCCUGACGCAGCAACGCCGCGUGAGUGAAGAAGGCCCUUGGGUCGUAAAGCUCUGUCAACAGGGAAGAAGUUACUUUGUAUUAAUAAUAUGAGGUAUUGACGGUACCUGUGAAGGAAGCACCGGCUAACUCCGUGCCAGCAGCCGCGGUAAUACGGGGGGUGCAAGCGUUAUUCGGAAUUAUUGGGCGUAAAGGGCACGCAGGCGGUCCUGUCAGUCAGAUGUGAAAGCCCGGGGCUCAACCCCGGACGUGCAUUUGAAACAGCAGGACUUGAGUACGGGAGAGGAAAGGGGAAUUCCUGGUGUAGAGGUGAAAUUCGUAGAUAUCAGGAGGAACACCGGUGGCGAAGGCGCCUUUCUGGACCGAUACUGACGCUGAGGUGCGAAGGCGUGGGUAGCGAACGGGAUUAGAUACCCCAGUAGUC